GACCCAAGUGGUAACCUCCUUCUAUACUGGGUGCUAGCAAUCAGAAGCAGCCUUAGACAUCAUCUUUGUGGCUGCCCCUCCUCUCUGAGACCCUGAGUACCUCACCAGAUCCCACCUCUUGCAAACACUGGAGUAUGGGCCAAUUAGGAGAGAGAAGGUUUCCACCAGCUAAAAUGACUCUGCUCUGAAGAAAGGGCUCUCAACACACACAGUGCGCUAGGAGGUGGGUGGUGUGGAAUAGCCAGCCACACAGAAGGUCCCCACUCAGUUCAGGCAUCCUAGACAUCUCCCUUUCUCUAGAGACUGCCAGAAAACUUGAAGCUUGUGCCUGGAGUAUUUGGGGAACAUGCUCAUGGGAGACAUUUUCAGCUGCUCAGGAUGAGCACACUACUAAGAAGUGGGUCCUCAGCAGCCAGCUCUUCCUCAGAGGCUCACAUUUUACUUUUCUCCAUGGAGUCUGGCAUGAAGGACUGGCAGCUGUGAUCAAUUCAAAUUUUCAUGAACGAAUGAUAAAUGCCAAUACUUGAAAAUUGAGAAACCAUCUAAGACAGCCCCUUCUGCACUUUGUCGCGUGACCCUGAGUCCAGAAGAGGAGUGAUAUCCACAUUUAUUAACUGUCUACUCAGAGAGAGACUGGCUUGUGUUUAACUUGAAUUAGUUCAUCAGUGUCAAAGAUACCACAGAGUAGGUUAUUAUUCAUGGUUAAUUCAAGAAAAAAAUCAAUAACUUGCUUUAAGAUAUUUGAUUAGUUUUGAGCAGGAAUCUCAGUAACCUGCCUUUCAGAUGGCAAAUAAUCAUUCAGUCAAUCAACAAGUAUUAAUUGUGGGCAUUCUACAUGCCAGGCAUGAGAAGUCACCACUUCCAAUGAAUGAGAUACCGUAAUAUCUGCCUGCAGUUGACUUAUAUUCUAGUGGGGAAAGAGAUUUUAAAAUAUCUAAACCAAAAAACCUCUAUAAAAUAAUCACUACUGUGGUAAGUCCUAUAAAGAAUGAAGUAUUGAGAUCAGAUAAAAAGUGCACUCAAAGCAGGCCUCUCUGGGACAGAUCACUGAGUGUAACUUGAAAGGUUGAGAAGGAGCCAAGGAACAAAUGGAAAAACAAAGAAUAUCCAGGCAUUGCAUACGAGGAACUCUCGAAGUAUGAAGGAACUCUAGAAUAUUCGAGGACCCGUAGGAAGACUAAUGUGGCAGCAGGAAAAGAGAUAAGAAAAGAAUGACAUAAGGUUGGAGACAUGUCCGAUGGGUGUUCAGAUGUCCAGAAGACUUGUGGGUAGGUCAUGUGAACAAUCCAAACUGUAUCACACAUGCAUUGGAAAGACAGCGGUUUUCAUCGGGAAGUGAUGUGGCCCCAUAUUUCAAGGUCACCCUUGCAAUGGUGCAAAUCGUGAAGGUGAAGAAUGGAAAGAGGAAGUCAGGAGUCUAUGGCAGGCGCUCGGCCAUCAGGGGAAUCUGGGUAAAAUCAAAAUCAAGGCAGACCAGAGACCAAGGACUAAUCAGCCCAUGUCCAGGAGUAUAAGGCUGGGCUAAUCAAAGUCCUGGUGAGUAUCAAACUCCUCCUCUCCAGAAAUAGAUGGUGAAAAUACCUCACAGAGUAUUCGCAAGAAUCACAAAAGCUAAAAAACACAAUAAGACUAUGAAACUGGACAAAUAUACUACAAAAAUUAAGGGCCAUUAUGGUCACAGAAAGCACUGCUUCCUUACUCUUUUAUUCACUCAUCCAAUAUUUUGGAGUCCUGGGUUUAAUGCAUUGCCUUCAAUCCAGCUUACAGUUUGCCUGGACUACAUUUACUAUGUGAACUUUGCACCCUAUAGGUAGUGUUGUAGGGUUUUGGAAAAUAGGUGCAGUAAAGGAAGUGGCAAAAUGACAUGAAGGUAAUAGUAAUUGUGAACUGAGGAUGUCAUUGUUAUUUAACGCCUCAUAUCAUUGAAAUCAUCAGUGCAUAACUGACUAAAAACCCUCUCUGAAUGAGAAAAAUACUUCACAUCUUUUCUCAUCAUGCUGUGUAUGUUGCUGUAGGCUACCUCAUUAUUUCAGAGCAGUUGCCCAUUCCUAGCUAGAAUAUGAUUGCUCACGUGACAAGAGCUGGGUCUUACAGCACAGCAUGGUGCUCUCCAAAUAUUUUCUGAGCUAAGUGGUUUUCCAAGGAAAUCAUAUGUGGAUGCUAAUUUUGACAUUUCAAGUUGAAGAGGAAAAAAGACUUCCAAAGGCCCUAUGAACUUGAUAAAAUCCACAAGGUGGAGGUCAGAAAAAUACAUAGUACUAGAGGCUGAAGAACCUUGAUUGACAGUGAAGAGUGAUUUUCCCAAAGCGGAAGGUCAAGGUGGACAAACUAGAGACAAACUUAGGUUUGUCUUUUUGCUUCACUGUCUACCUCUGCACACCAAGGACCCCCACCUGCCCCCAGGAUGGAGUAAGCACACUUAGCCUUGAGUGGCCACAGUGAGCCAGACAAUGACUAACCUCAGGCUGUACUGCUGGGGAUGGGCAUGGCCCACAAAGACUUCUCUCUGGAGGAGCAGAAGUGUGUGAGGUAUGAAUCUUGGAGGAGCAACUGUAGAAGGAGAAGGUCUGAGGGGGGCUUCAGACCAGCUGGGUAACACUGCCUUUUGCCUAGAGAGUUGCUUCCAGUCUACAUGUGACUUAGAAAGAAGAUGAUUCAGAGAUGGUUGUCAUCCAAACUUCUACCACACUAGAAUGGAAGCACAAUCGUAUUCCUGGAACAGGGACCGGAGAAGUCCUUACUCCUAGCCCAGCAGCCCUUACCAGAGCCCCCAGACAGUCCUGCUACCUCCUCUUUUAAGAGCACUGGAGUUCUCUUGGUAGCCCCUCUUCCCUGCCUGUAGGGUGUAUGCAGGUCUAUGCUCCUUAGCUUUUUGGCUCCAAACCCUUGGUGUGCAUAAGCUCGUCCGGUUCUCUGACAUUAGAAGUCUGGAUACUUAAGUCUCUGUUCAAACAGGUCUGCAGUAAUAAAAUCCUGAAAUCCACAAUUUGGGUGACUCUGGCCCUCAGCCUUGGAUGGUAGCUUGAGCAGUUCAGGGCUGGGGCUGUGGUUAAGAACUCAAGCUCAGGUGCUAGAGUGCCUGAGGUGGGAAUCCUGUUCAACCUCAUACUUGCUAUGUAACUCUGAAAAGCUAUUUAAAUGCUUCACAUUUUGAUGUCCAGCUCUAUAAAACAUGGAAGUAUUUACCUCAUAAACUUUGGAAAGGACUAAGUAUAAUAACACAUGCCACAGCAUACAUCCUAGUGCAUGACAGAGAGUCAGUGGUAAGUGGUCAUGAUUAAUAUUAUAUCUUUAAAUAAGCAGAAGCAACUGAAAGAGAAUCUUGUCUUGAAAAUCUCUUCUCUGCUGCUUGAUCCAGAGUGGGUUUUCAUUCUUAAUUUUAACCUGGCUGGGUUCAUUGAAGACUAACUCAUGGAGAUCCAUUAAUUGGGUGGUGCCACUGUGUUGAUGCAGUAGCAUUGCAAUUGAAUGGCACCAGCAUCACGGAAUCCCAACAUCCGGUGAUCGAUACACUGCCAAUGCAAAUUUGAGCAAGAGAUAUUAGCAACAUUGUGAUGGGUAAGAUUAUUUGUGUCAACCUAAUUGGCUCAGGAGCCACCCAAGAAAUUAAUGAAGCACACAUAUAGGUGUGUCUGGAUGGAUCUUGGAGGCAUGACCUUGGUUACUAGGUCUGGUUUCUCACCCUUUUCUCUCUGGCAUUGUCCCCAUGCUGUGCUUUCCUACAUCCAUGAACUAAGAAUCGUUGCUCUGUCAUGUGUUUCUGCCAUGAUAUUCCUACCUUGGCUGAACAUUCAGCCCACCAUGGACUGAAUCCUCUGAAAUCUGAGCCAAAUUAAACCUCUCCGUCUUUAAGUUAUGAUUGUCCAGUAUUGUGUUCCUGUGACAGAAAGGCUAAUUGAUACAAACAUCAUCUUACAUUUAGGCUGCAGUAAGGAAUGUAUAUCAUUGUCUGUUCAACAAGGAUGAAAGUUUAUUACUAUGGAAUUUCCUGGAGAGAAGAUGUCAGGAAAGGUCAAUGAACAGUGGAUAUUUUGUAUGUGUGAUUUUUGUCAUAUGUUGCCUUGUGACACUAAGGGAAAGGAAAGGACUUUCUUCCUCUUCUUAAAGAAUAUUAUGUGAGAGAGAAAAGUAGAAUGAUGAAAUGGAAUGAAGAAUGAAAAGUUUUGUGAUCAGUUCAAGAUGGCAGGCAGAACUGGUAACUCUUCUUGUGCUUGGGGAAAAUCUUGCAAAAAUUCUAGGACUAUAUUUCAAACUAGGCAAGAAAACAGAAGGAGUGAACAAGCAAGAGGGGGGCACUAGAAGACUUGAAGUUUGAGGAAUUUGUAAAUCACUGAAAGCAGAUACAAGGAGUGAGAGGCACUCACAUGCAUACAUUCCCCUGAGGAGAAGUUCUUCAGAGGAGCCCCAAGUCUGGAGGCAGGAAAUAGAAGAAUGGGUGGAGUGUCCUAAGCAGAAGGAAAAGACCGUCAGUCCAAAAAGAGGAGAUUGAAAAUGGGGCAUCCCCUGGAGUGGGUGAAGCCAGGAAUGCAUGGGAAAUACUCAGGUGUCUGGGUUGAUUGGCACACUGGGCAUCCCAGAACGAUCAUUCCCAUCCCUUGAACCAACACCAUCAGAUCUGAUCUCGUGGAGCAUUAGCCCUCUACACUCUGGGCCCAUAACGGCCUUUCCAUCUGUUUUGUCGGUCGAUUUCCCCAACCAUGGUCACUGUUCCUAAUGUACUAGACCAGCAGACACUCCCAGGGAAGAGUCCAUGCACUUGGGAUUUGCACUGCAUCCUUUUGUGGAUCCCACACUCAUUACCUUUGAACAACUCUUCCUUUGGCUUUCAUCCAAAUGCCUCCCUUCUGGAAGCCAGAUUCAAUACCCUUCAAUAUCACCUUAUGCCAACCUGGGCCUUUAUACCUGUGUAUAGCACCACUAAGGGUCUGCCUAGCAACACAAUCUGCAAGCUCAUGCCUUCAUUCUCUCAGGAUACUGAAAA
Heterocephalus glaber (naked mole-rat) is the source of this 4981-nucleotide non-coding RNA. Lineage: Eukaryota; Metazoa; Chordata; Mammalia; Rodentia; Bathyergidae. The record is from RefSeq and is a predicted model, not a curated record.